RNAcentral lists this ribosomal RNA (460 nucleotides) under uncultured bacterium. RNAcentral's name for it is "partial 16S ribosomal RNA". It matches the Rfam family "Bacterial small subunit ribosomal RNA", at positions 338 to 795 of the family's 1533-position model. The record is from RNAcentral.
CCUACGGGUGGCAGCAGUGAGGAAUAUUGGUCAAUGGCCGAGAGGCUGAACCAGCCAAGUCGCGUGAGGGACGACUGCCCUAUGGGUUGUAAACCUCUUUUAUAAGGGAAUAAUACAUGCUACGUGUAGCAUGAUGCCUGUACUUUAUGAAUAAGCAUCGGCUAACUCCGUGCCAGCAGCCGCGGUAAUACGGAGGAUCCGAGCGUUAUCCGGAUUUAUUGGGUUUAAAGGGUGCGUUGGUGGGUUUUUAAGUUAGGUGUUAAAGCUUGCGGGUUAAACCUUAAAUUGCAAUUGAUACUGGGAGUCUCGAGUACAGACGAGGUAGGCGGAAUAAGUGAAGUAGCGGUGAAAUGCUUAGAUAUAACGUAGAACCCCGAUAGCGAAGGCAGCUUACUAGACUGCGACUGACGCUGAUGCACGAGAGUGUGGGUAGCGAACAGGAUUAGAUACCCUGGUAGUC